AGAGUUUGAUCAUCGCUCAGAGCGAACGCUGGCGGCAGGCUUAACACAUGCAAGUCGAACCCACCUUUACGGGGUGAGUGGCAGACGGGUGAGUAACACGUGGGAACGUACCCUUCGGUUCGGGAUAACUCAGGGAAACUUGAGCUAAUACCGGAUACGCCCUUUGGGGGAUAGGUUUACUGCCGAAGGAUCGGCCCGCGUCUGAUUAGCUAGUUGGUGGGGUAAUGGCCUACCAAGGCGACGAUCAGUAGCUGGUCUGAGGGGAUGAUCAGCCACACUGGGACUGAGACACGGCCCAGACUCCUACGGGAGGCAGCAGUGGAAUAUUGGACAAUGGGCGCAAGCCUGAUCCAGCCAUGCGGCGUGAGUGAUGAAGGCCUUAGGGUUGUAAAGCUCCUUCGACGGGGACGAUAAUGACGGUACCCGUAGAAGAAGCCCCGGCUAACUUCGUGCCAGCAGCCGCGGUAAUACGAAGGGGGCUAGCGUUGCUCGGAAUCACUGGGCGUAAAGGGCGCGUAGGCGGCCAUUCAAGUCAGGGGUGAAAGCCCG
This 549-nucleotide ribosomal RNA is filed under the name uncultured bacterium. RNAcentral describes it as "bacterial SSU rRNA". It matches the Rfam family "Bacterial small subunit ribosomal RNA", at positions 8 to 604 of the family's 1533-position model. The record is from RNAcentral.